GCGCCCGUAGCUCAGUUGGAUAGAGCAGGAGUUUCCUAAACUUCAGGUCACAGGUUCGAGUCCUGUCGGGCGCG
Molecule: transfer RNA, 74 nt
Filed under: Candidatus Poribacteria bacterium
Lineage: Bacteria; Candidatus Poribacteria
Description: tRNA-Arg
Rfam family: tRNA
About the family: Transfer RNA (tRNA) molecules are approximately 80 nucleotides in length. Their secondary structure includes four short double-helical elements and three loops (D, anti-codon, and T loops). Further hydrogen bonds mediate the characteristic L-shaped molecular structure. tRNAs have two regions of fundamental functional importance: the anti-codon, which is responsible for specific mRNA codon recognition, and the 3' end, to which the tRNAs corresponding amino acid is attached (by aminoacyl-tRNA synthetases). tRNAs cope with the degeneracy of the genetic code in two manners: having more than one tRNA (with a specific anti-codon) for a particular amino acid; and 'wobble' base-pairing, i.e. permitting non-standard base-pairing at the 3rd anti-codon position.
Source: RNAcentral